UGGGGAAUAUUGCACAAUGGGCGAAAGCCUGAUGCAGCAACGCCGCGUGAGUGAUGAAGGCCUUCGGGUUGUAAAGCUCUGUCUUUUGGGACGAUAAUGACGGUACCAAAGGAGGAAGCCACGGCUAACUACGUGCCAGCAGCCGCGGUAAUACGUAGGUGGCAAGCGUUGUCCGGAUUUUACUGGGCGUAAAGGAUGCGUAGGCGGAUUUUUAAGUGAGAUGUGAAAACCCUAAGCUUAACUUGGGGACUGCAUUUCAUACUGGAAAUCUAGAGUGCGGGAGAGGAGAAUGGAAUUCCUAGUGUAGCGGUGAAAUGCGUAGAGAUUAGGAAGAACACCAGUGGCGAAGGCGAUUCUCUGGACCGUAACUGACGCUGAGGCAUGAAAGCGUGGGUAGCAAACAGGAUUAGAUACCCUGGUAGUCCACGCCGUAAACGAUGAGUACUAGGUGUAGGAGGUAUCGACCCCUUCUGUGCCGCAGUUAACACAAUAAGUACUCCGCCUGGGAAGUACGAUCGCAAGAUUAAAAA
RNAcentral lists this ribosomal RNA (530 nucleotides) under uncultured bacterium. RNAcentral's name for it is "partial 16S ribosomal RNA". It matches the Rfam family "Bacterial small subunit ribosomal RNA", at positions 355 to 900 of the family's 1533-position model. The record is from RNAcentral.